UUUAAGGUUUUUCCCUAGUGAACCUGCGGAAGGAUCAUUG
This 40-nucleotide ribosomal RNA is filed under the name Bulbophyllum micranthum. RNAcentral describes it as "partial 18S ribosomal RNA". The record is from RNAcentral. Lineage: Eukaryota; Viridiplantae; Streptophyta; Magnoliopsida; Asparagales; Orchidaceae.